Molecule: long non-coding RNA, 730 nt
Filed under: Rattus norvegicus (Norway rat)
Lineage: Eukaryota; Metazoa; Chordata; Mammalia; Rodentia; Muridae
Description: long non-coding RNA NONRATT018344
Source: RNAcentral
GCACGAGCACUCUACCACCAAAACUAAUGUCUUUCCUUCUUCCAUCAACUAUUAACUGUGAAAAUCCUCAGGGAAGAAUGGGGCCCCCUGAACUCCUGCCCCCUUCAGAGCAGGCUCAGUCUUGUGUACACAACACAGCGACUGUGAGUUUAAGAGAGCACCAGCCAUAUCGUACCAGGAGUCGGCGUUCUACACCACCUGCAUACAAACCACCUAACAUUCCUGCUGCCACUUCCAUGCUGCUUCUCAGUGGUUUCAGGAUGCAUCCAGUAUCAUCUUUAUUCCUUGGAUUCAGGGGGAGAACAUAAUCUCCAGUGUAAAGGGUCUAUUUCCUUGUCCAUGUAUUACAUUUCACUAAUCUACCACUUUGUUGUAGGCAAAGAAAAGUAAAACCAAAAUGCCAUCUUUGGUAAAGAAAUGGCAGAGUAUCCAGCGGGAGUUAGAUGAAGAAGAUAAUUCAAGUUCCAGCGAAGAGGACCGGGAAUCGACUGCACAGAAGCGAAUUGAGGAAUGGAAACAGCAGCAGCUGGUGAGGUAAGGAGUGCUGUCACAGAUGUGGGCAGAGGCGCAUGGUGUUACAGUCCUAAAGUUACAGCCCUUCAUGGAGAAUACACACGCUGCUUGGCUGAGAAACUUGAAACGUUUUCCUGAAUGGACGUGAGAUCCAAUUUUCAGUUUCAGAUAGAGUUUUUAUUUCUAAAAAAGUUUGGUUCUCUUUCUUUCCAAUGAA